Molecule: long non-coding RNA, 3077 nt
Organism: Cyprinus carpio carpio
Lineage: Eukaryota; Metazoa; Chordata; Actinopteri; Cypriniformes; Cyprinidae
Source: Ensembl
UAGAGAGAGAGAGAGUGGCCAUCCACGUAGCUAUAGGUUUUGUUAUGCUGUGAUUUCUCUCUCUCUCUCCCUCGCUCGCCCGCUCACUCCGAACCCCCUUCUACCCCCACCUCCUCUUCUCUCUCACUCAUUCUCCAUCUCUCGCUCACACACACACGCGCCAAACACUCUCUCUCUCCUCCUCUGCCUCUCUCUCUCCGUCUGUCUCUCCCUCCCUCAGCUUCACUCGCUCUUGUGCUGUAAGUUCAUUUGCUGUGUCAAGCAACAACUGGCUCGGGAGUGGGCAGUGGGUUUUGAUCCUUUUGUCAAGCAUCCCCCCUGCGAGUGUGUACCGCGUCCACCUGCGCACCACGGGACUGGCCGCCUGGCUCUCUCUAACAUCGCCGCACCGUCCUGGGUUUAUCACGAUCAGGCAUCCCACCUUGCUGAGAUGGGCGGCACGAUGAGAUGCUGAAGGUUUGACGGGGCGAACCCGCUACUGUGGACUAUCAUCAUCACCAUCAUCGGAAUCAUCGCAGUGGCAAUGGGAGUCAGGACAUGGAUGCUAGCCGGAGGAUCUCCGCAGGGUCCUUGCAUCCCAGAAUUGUUCAUGCCGUUGAUUUCAAACCGUUAUUUGGCUAUCCUUGGAUCCUCAAACAGCCCAGCAAGAGCUUGUGCCUCUGUCCUAAAGACUUUAAGGCUUCCAGCUGUCAUUACUUUCUCUAAAACCAACCAAUGGACCAUUGAGAGCCAAGCCAGCACUAACCGGUAUUUUUGGACAGUGGAAGCUCUGAGUUGCCACCGAACGAGGGUAAACCUUUCCAAAAACACAGAGGAUAUUCUUAUUUUGUAUUGAGUCCUAAAUCUAUUGUUUGAUCUAAUUAUUCUGCCUCUAAGGCCCUAUUAUCCAGGCACUACUGAUGAAACCGAAGCGAAAAAAGGAGGCAGAGUGUGUCUCCUGGUUGUUUGAGACAUGCUAGGACAUCCAUAGCACAGAAAGAGAGAGAGAGAGAUAAAGAGCAAGAUAUAGAAAGAGAGUGAAUAAAAGAGUACUGAGUGAUUCAGUCACGUACAGCCCAGGCAUUAUCUAGCCAACAAUAAAAGAUUACAUCAUAUCAGCUGGCAUAAUUUCUUCAAGGUCUUUUAUUGAUUCUUUGAAUGGUGAGUGCAGCUGUUGAAAGUGUACAAAAGAAAGCCAUUGUAUUUACAGGAUCACAUCAGGAUUUUAUAGGCACACAGAAAUGAUUUGACGAUUCAGCUUUCAUUCGGAGGAUGAUCACAACUUUCAUGUGGCUUUGUAACAGGUACACAACACUCUAAUUAUGUUUAAUUCCUCUUUGCAUGCAAGAUGAGCCAGCACUCCUAAACUGAGAGCAAAAAUUUGACAAACUAGUGAGAAAAUACAUCACAGAUGAUUACACUCUCAUCUGUUGCUGUUACAAAUUCAAAGUAAAACAAGUAUUUUAAUUUAAUUUUAAAUUUAAACUAUCUGUGAAAUAAAUAUUGCAUUUGUCCCAAAUGGCACCCAUGUAGCUACAUUUUGGGUAGCAUAAUGAGAAAUAUACUAUUGGGUAGUAGUCCGCUGUGAAGUCUAGUGUGAAAUCAAGGGUGCAGUGGCGCAAAGAGGGUGCUGUUGAGCAUUCUUUUUAUAUAGUAAAAUGGCAAAAUUAGCAAAAUUUCGGCAAAAUUUAGCAGGCAACCAAGCAGCCAAAGAAACGAUGCAACAUAUUUGCAUGACUAACCAAUUCCUACAGAUAUUACUGGAAGCAAUGGUUAAAGUGACCAUGCCUGAAAGGGAUACUCCACCUCCAAAUGAAAAUGUUGUCAUUAAUCACUUACCCCCAUGUCAUUCCAAACCCUUAAAAGCUUUGUUCAUCUUCGAAACACAAUUUAAGAUAUCUAAUUGGAGUAGGGUGGAGUAAUUGUGUUGUGGCACAAAGUCCAGAAGUCCACAUGCAUAGUUUGGGAUGGACCAUAGUAUUGUUGUUGCCCUUAAAACUUCUGUGAGUAUCAGUGUGUUUGUGUUUGUUCCAACUGUCAAGGUACAGUCCUAUUGGUGAAAUUUUGUAGGCAAAAAGGGUCCACUGUCUGUUGUGAAUAGUAAUAGUAAUAGUAGCAAUAGUAUAGCAGCCAGCAAGCAAUAUGGCAAAUUCGUAUGACCAACUUGAACACGAGCGAAUUAUACAGGGCUAAUUUUCUCACCCUCAUGUGAAACUCAAUUACUGAAUUUUAUCUGUGAAAUUUUGCAGAGCAAUGGUACAUGUGUCCACAUCUUUAAAGUGUUUUAAAGAAAAGAUCACAAGUGCACAUGCACUAUUUAGGAAAGUCCCAUGUAUUGCUAUUGUCCUUAAAAUGUGAGUGAGUGUCCGUGCAUUCACGUCAACUGUAAUGGUGCGGCAUGAUAGGCUUAAUCUGUUGUGAAAUCGGCAUUGGGAAAUUCCCAAUUGCAGGAAUUCCAAUUAAAGUGACUGGUUUUUGUGUGCAAAAUUUCACAGAGCGAUGGUAAAUGUGACUGGACCUUAAGAAUCAAAACUCACUACUCAUUUUUGGAUGUGGUUAAGUGCAUAAUUUCUGCUCCACUAGUUGCAUCAAAAAGAACUGCAAUUACUUUUAGUGACACUAGUGAAAAAAGUUUAAAAUUAAUUGUUGUAAAUUGAAAUUGCACUGUGUAACAGGUUAAACCCAUCAAAGUCACUGACGAGUAAGAACAAGGUGGGCAGAGCUACUGAGGAGUGUAUUGAUACAUUCGGGGGUUUCUGAGUGACUUAGGACGAGGGGUCUCACACUCUGGACUGCACAAAUUAAGGAUGAAUAAAGAACACAGAGGGGGACGCUGCCUGGUGGGACAGGAAGUAGAGACGCAGAGGGGAGCAACUUCACCUGCUGAUCACCUUCAGUCUGACCAGUGGAACUGGCCUCUGAUUGGACAUGUCUGAUAGCCCAUCCAAUUGAUGGGAAUGGGAGAGAGAGAAAGGAAGAGGAACCUGAUGACAGUUCCCUGCAGAGAUGAAACUCCUCAGAAGCGCUCAGAGAGAAGAUGACACUUCAUACCACAUCAUUUGAUAGGAUUCAGAGAGGGUUAUGGAUCCUGUCCAACA